Molecule: long non-coding RNA, 445 nt
Filed under: Androctonus crassicauda
Lineage: Eukaryota; Metazoa; Arthropoda; Arachnida; Scorpiones; Buthidae
Source: RNAcentral
UUUCAAAUCUAAAUUACUUGAACAGUCUAUUAUUUCAAAUUGAAAUAUUCAUUUGUUAUAUUUACUAAUAAAAAGGUUCUAUAAAAAUCCCUAUUUCGUUUUCUCGGUUAAGCAAUUUUUUCUAGAAUUUAUUUUGUGCGCAUAAAAUACUAAGGCGGAGCACGGGUGGCCACUUCUGCCCUAUGUCAUGACUUGGGCUAGUAUUACAUCUUACUAUAAAAAUCAUAUAGGAGCUAUCAAUUUGCUGCUAAUGGUAGAAGCGUACAUCGAGAUUUGUAUUCUCCAGAAGACUGGAAAGCAGUUCUUUUCAAAAGAAACCAGGGGGUCUAUGCUGCUUUUAACAAAAAUUGUCUCUCUACCAAUAAGAACAGUGAUGUCGCUUCUUAUUGGUUGUUCCGCUAGAGACAAUUUUUAUUAAGAGCAGCAUAGACCCCAGGAUUGGGCC